RNAcentral lists this ribosomal RNA (275 nucleotides) under uncultured bacterium. RNAcentral describes it as "partial 16S ribosomal RNA". It matches the Rfam family "Bacterial small subunit ribosomal RNA", at positions 523 to 796 of the family's 1533-position model. The record is from RNAcentral.
AUACGUAGGGUGCGAGCGUUAUCCGGAAUCAUUGGGCGUAAAGAGCUCGUAGGCGGUUCAGCAAGUCGGCUGUGAAAGUUCGAGGCUCAACCUCGAAAUUGCAGUCGAUACUGCUGUGACUCGAGUCCGGUAGAGGAGAAUGGAAUUCUCGGUGUAGCGGUGAAAUGCGCAGAUAUCGAGAGGAACACCAGUAGCGAAGGCGGUUCUCUGGGCCGGCACUGACGCUGAGGAGCGAAAGCGUGGGGAGCAAACAGGAUUAGAUACCCCAGUAGUCC